RNAcentral lists this unclassified non-coding RNA (20 nucleotides) under Mus musculus (house mouse). RNAcentral describes it as "oocyte_clustered_small_RNA1588". Lineage: Eukaryota; Metazoa; Chordata; Mammalia; Rodentia; Muridae. The record is from RNAcentral.
UGGAAAAGGCUCUGGCCUGG